This 542-nucleotide ribosomal RNA is filed under the name uncultured kinetoplastid. RNAcentral's name for it is "bacterial SSU rRNA". It matches the Rfam family "Eukaryotic small subunit ribosomal RNA", at positions 615 to 1026 of the family's 1831-position model. The record is from RNAcentral. Lineage: Eukaryota; Euglenozoa; Kinetoplastea.
GCUGUUUAAGGGUUCGUAGUUGAAUUGAGGGCUGUCAGGCAGACGAACAAGUCCCGGCCUUCGGCUGGUGACCUUCGCUCCUGCAGUUCGUGAACAUCAGAAACAAACAUCUCGGAAGCGUUUCCUCCCAUCUACGCAUGCAAUGUAUGCAGGGGGGCGUCCGUGUGUCUUACUGUGCUAAAAAAGUGCGACCAAAGCAGUCGUUCGACAUGAAUUAGAAAGCAUGGGAUAACAAAUGUCAGCCUACGGAUUACCGUUUCGGCUUUUGUUGGUUUUAGAGAUCUGUAGGAGAUUAUGGGCUCGCCGACAAGCGGUUCGGGGUUCCGUCCCCACGCCUCCGUCGUCUAUGGCUUUCGGGUCUGGCGGCGGCUUGCGGCGCCCAGGAAUGAAGGAGGGUUGUUCGGGGGAGAACGUCUUGAACGUGAGAGGUGAAAUUCUUAGACCGUUCAAAGACGAACUACAGCGAAGGCAUUCUCCAGGAUACCUUCCUCAAUCAAGAACCAAAGUGUGGAGAUCGAAGAUGAUUAGAUACCUUGUAGUCC